Molecule: ribosomal RNA, 512 nt
Filed under: uncultured bacterium
Lineage: Bacteria
Description: partial 16S ribosomal RNA
Rfam family: Bacterial small subunit ribosomal RNA
Source: RNAcentral
GACGAACGCUGGCGGCGUGCCUAAUACAUGCAAGUCGAGCGAAUCUUGAGGUGCUUGCACCUCUUGGUUAGCGGCGGACGGGUGAGUAACACGUGGGCAACCUGCCUGUAAGACUGGGAUAACUUCGGGAAACCGGAGCUAAUACCGGAUAAUCCUUUUUCUCUCAUGAGGAAAAGCUGAAAGUCGGUUUACGCUGACACUUACAGAUGGGCACGCGGCGCAUUAGCUAGUUGGUGAGGUAACGGCUCACCAAGGCGACGAUGCGUAGCCGACGUGGGAGGGUGAGCGGCCACACUGGGACUGAGAGACGGCCCAGACGCCUACGGGAGGCAGAAGUAGGGAAUCUUCCGCAAUGGACGAAAGUCUGACGGAGCAACGCCGCGUGAGCGAUGAAGGCCUUCGGGUCGUAAAGCUCUGUUGUUAGGGAAGAACAAGUAUCGGAGUAACUGCCGGUACCUUGACGGUACCUAACCAGAAAGCCACGGCUAACUACGUGCCAGCCGCCGCCGUAA